Molecule: non-coding RNA, 246 nt
Organism: Paramisgurnus dabryanus
Lineage: Eukaryota; Metazoa; Chordata; Actinopteri; Cypriniformes; Cobitidae
Source: RefSeq, a predicted model, not a curated record
GAUGGAAAAAAGCUAGCCCAACUGAAACCAAUAAGUAAGGAACUGAAGUUAAAGUCUUAAAUACUCAUGGUAGUGAUGUCGUCUUUUCUUCAGAGACUCUGUCUAUAGAUGGAAAAGGGACUACAUCAUCAGACUGAUUCAGUUCUACAAGUUCAAAUAUUAGAAUUGAGGACUCUGCUGAACAUUGAGAAAAAAUACCGUAUUGGGAGAAGAUGGCAAGAGUCUGAUUCAAACUUCCAGUCUACC